This is a long non-coding RNA of Harpegnathos saltator (Jerdon's jumping ant), 2685 nucleotides long. RefSeq lists it as uncharacterized. The record is from RefSeq and is a predicted model, not a curated record. NCBI's taxonomy places the organism in Eukaryota, Metazoa, Arthropoda, Insecta, Hymenoptera, Formicidae. The transcript is spliced from 3 exons.
CGGUCGCAGAUCAAUCGACGCACGUGCGUCGAGCUCUCCCUGUCCCGAGUCGGUGCGGGAACUCGCCAGGAAAAUGUCGUGUGAUCGCGAAUUCCUCUCGGGCGGGGAAGAAACGUCGUUUCGAGACGUUUCAUAAAAGAGGCAUCAUAAAAAAUGGAAAAAUGUCCGGGUCGUAGCUGUGCUCUCCGUGAUUUUGUUUCCAGCGUUUCCAAGACUCCGCGGCCGGAAAACGCGAAGAAGCAACUGGCGCUGAAAAUGACAAGGGGCUGAAUUAAUUCGACCGAGAGACUGCAAAUGGGGCUGCAAAGACAGCAGAGAGCAGACGAGGGGUUCCCAUCCUGUUUCCUGUUUGCGUUUCGAUCCAAACUCAAGCGACUCACGUCGGUACGAACGGUAGCAGUCAAGUUCAUAAUGCUACAGGUGCCCACCGCGUAAACUUUGUGUGCGGAGUAUUCGAAGCGGAAUAUUCCGAAGCCUGUACUUUUGGCGUCGAGUCGACAUCAGUGCCGGUUUAUUUCCCACAAUGAGAUCGCUACGUCGAGAUUGUCGUAUCGUCGUAUCGGUCGUAGCACCCUAACGAUUCUUCGUCAAGAUAUACAUCUCGUAAUUUCGUGCUCGUGCAGUUAUCCAUCGCAGUCAAUCGGCACGAGAGCGAUCCGCUCCGUUACGAGCGCGCGCGCGCGCGUUGCAUUUUCGUCGCAUCCGUCCGUCACACAAGUGGACAGCGAUUACGAUUACGAUUACAAUUACGAUCGGUUGCUGCGUUGGUGCACGUUCAUCGAGAAUACAAUAUCAACAGGAUGCUCUCUUGUCGCGGCUGGGUCUCUUUGGCCGUUUCUCAGUGUAAAGUCGCGAGAUGCUUGUUGCCGCCGUUCCCUCGCGAUCGAUAUCUGUUAUCUCCCCCGAUCGAGGUAACACGCGCCGAUUUUCAACAGUUUUGCAAUUCGUAUUUCAAUUCGAUUCUUCAACUUUUAAUCGGAUAUUGGCAUGGAUCGUGUGUUCAGGUAUUUUGAUGUUGUACGAUCACUGGCGCGACGCGCAAGCGCUUUGCGAGAGAGAGAGAGAGCUGCUAUAUCAAUGCGAUGGUCCUGCUGACCAUCUUCGUCGGCAAGAUAGUCAAUACGAGAUUUGGAACCGCGAUUUGGAAGGUGAGCCCGCCGGAAAAUCCACCGGCGCUCGGUGUCUCAAUGCUUUGUAAUGCUUUAUUACCUCCGUCCGUGAGAUAAUUUCGUUUCGAUGCGACGCGACGCGACGAAUCGUAAUCUCUUUUUCUCUUUUAUGUCGUCGUCGUGUCGUUAUGCUCAGAUUCGACACUACUGUACGAGGCCAUAAUUGUACGACCGAUUGGAUUAUAUUCACGAGCGAGUCGGAAGUCCGAGUUCUCAGAGACUAUACCGUCGCGUCGCGACGAAAAUUUACGAUAUUGUACUCAAGUGAGUGUACGAGUAUCAGCAAGUGCGCUGAGUAAGUGUAACCAAGUAAAUUCUGCCGCUUACACGAGUAGGAAUAAGAAAGCAUCGGUCCGACGGUCGAUUUCGACGGAGAUAUACGCAAAGAGGGAUAAUCGUAUGAAUCCUCGUGACCUUGUAUUCAUCUCGAUAAUUUCAAAUAUAUCUAAAAGUUUAGAUCUCUCAGGCACAUAUCCCAUUCGUUUUUCAAAUCAAGUCUCGAGAGCAGCAUAUAUUGCUGCAUGGAUUAAAAAAAGUACAGAAUUGUCAAAUACAUCGAAUAUUACGAAACUUGCGACCUCAUCUGCGACCUCAUCGAUUAAACAUUGACAUUUGUCAAUCUAACGAUGCAAUCCGCGCAAUAUUACGUAAGAAAAAACGUGUAUAUACUUGAAAAAUAAUUUCGCGGCGCAAUUAUCGUGCAGCUUUAUGGCGAUGCUGUUUCCAUCGGCGCCAUUUAUUAAUAGCAAUCAUUCUGGAUAUCGUACGAUCUCUCAAUGAAUCACGUCCGCGAAUGUUCGCGGUCGUUACAAAGAUACGGCUGCUGGACCAGGACUACUAGUUCUACGUUCCGAUUCUUUGCUAUCGCACAUCAUCGGCGUCAUCGGAUUAGGCGCGAUCAGCAUCGUCAGUAUCGACGGUCAGUAUAUAUAUACGUUUCCUUCACCGCUCGCGCCUGCGGGCCUGCUAUUCACAAUCAUCAAGUACGUACACGUGUGUGUCGGUAAUUAAAUGUCGCGUCUCUGAGCCGUCAACUCUCGCGAGUACCUGAUUUUGCAGUAGACAACUCGGGGGGAUGACAUCGCGGCUAAACGACAACGAGACGAUCAACGAACGCGAUCAUCCUAACCAGCUAAAUUUGAUACGCCGAACGAACGAGCUUCAUACAACAGAUGCAUUGGAUGCUUGAAAAAGCAUCAGCUCGCCCUGGUAGGUUCACAUCAACAUGUUCAAUUCGGCGUAUCAAAUGAUCGCGCUGGUCUUUGUUGUUAUUGUCGAACGGUGCGACUAUAAGUGUGGUUGGAGUUCGAAUAGUUCACAUAUUAGACCAAACGAGGGAUACGAGGGUGAGAUUCAGCUUUAUAAUCGUGACGAUGCUGGCACAGCUCCUGAUUAUUCCGUAUGUUAUUCCAAGGACAAAAACUGAUGGACGAGAGCCAGGAAGAAGAAUUCUCUCUCAUUUGUUCUGUUAUCGAAUCGAAAUUUUCCAAUUGUUCAAACUUGAGUUCUUUCCGAG